UGGGUUGAUCAGUGGCGAACGGGUGAGUAACACGUGAGUAACCUGCCCCAGACUCCGGGAUAAGCCUUGGAAACGAGGUCUAAUACUGGAUACGAGACGCCCCUGCAUGGGGAGUGUCUGGAAAGAUUUAUCGGUCUGGGAUGGACUCGCGGCCUAUCAGCUUGUUGGUGGGGUAAUGGCCUACCAAGGCGACGACGGGUAGCCGGCCUGAGAGGGCGACCGGCCACACUGGGACUGAGACACGGCCCAGACUCCUACGGGAGGCAGCAGUGGGGAAUAUUGCACAAUGGGCGAAAGCCUGAUGCAGCGACGCCGCGUGAGGGAUGAAGGCCUUCGGGUUGUAAACCUCUUUCAGCAGGGAAGAAGCGCAAGUGACGGUACCUGCAGAAGAAGCGCCGGCUAACUACGUGCCAGCAGCCGCGGUAAUACGUAGGGCGCAAGCGUUGUCCGGAAUUAUUGGGCGUAAAGAGCUCGUAGGCGGUUUGUCGCGUCUGGUGUGAAAACUCAAGGCUCAACCUUGAGCUUGCAUCGGGUACGGGCAGACUAGAGUGCGGUAGGGGUGACUGGAAUUCCUGGUGUAGCGGUGGAAUGCGCAGAUAUCAGGAGGAACACCGAUGGCGAAGGCAGGUCACUGGGCCGCAACUGACGCUGAGGAGCGAAAGCAUGGGGAGCGAACAGGAUUAGAUACCCUGGUAGUCCAUGCCGUAAACGUUGGGCACUAGGUGUGGGGCUCAUUCCACGAGUUCCGUGCCGCAGCAAACGCAUUAAGUGCCCCGCCUGGGGAGUACGGCCGCAAGGCUAAAACUCAAAGGAAUUGACGGGGGCCCGCACAAGCGGCGGAGCAUGCGGAUUAAUUCGAUGCAACGCGAAGAACCUUACCAAGGCUUGACAUACACCGGAAACUUCCAGAGAUGGUUGCCCCGCAAGGUCGGUGUACAGGUGGUGCAUGGUUGUCGUCAGCUCGUGUCGUGAGAUGUUGGGUUAAGUCCCGCAACGAGCGCAACCCUCGUCUUAUGUUGCCAGCACGUCAUGGUGGGGACUCAUAAGAGACUGCCGGGGUCAACUCGGAGGAAGGUGGGGAUGACGUCAAAUCAUCAUGCCCCUUAUGUCUUGGGCUUCACGCAUGCUACAAUGGCCGGUACAAAGGGCUGCGAUACCGCGAGGUGGAGCGAAUCCCAAAAAGCCGGUCUCAGUUCGGAUUGGGGUCUGCAACUCGACCCCAUGAAGUCGGAGUCGCUAGUAAUCGCAGAUCAGCAACGCUGCGGUGAAUACGUUCCCGGGCCUUGUACACACCGCCCGUCAAGUCACGAAAGUCGGUA
RNAcentral lists this ribosomal RNA (1319 nucleotides) under Oerskovia sp. RNAcentral's name for it is "bacterial SSU rRNA". It matches the Rfam family "Bacterial small subunit ribosomal RNA", at positions 84 to 1416 of the family's 1533-position model. The record is from RNAcentral. Lineage: Bacteria; Bacillati; Actinomycetota; Actinomycetes; Micrococcales; Cellulomonadaceae.